UCCAGGAUGGCCGAGUGGUUAAGGCGUUGGACUUAAGUUCCAAUAUUCGAAUGUACGCGUGGGAUCGAACCCCACUCCUGGUA
Nematostella vectensis (starlet sea anemone) is the source of this 83-nucleotide non-coding RNA. NCBI's taxonomy places the organism in Eukaryota, Metazoa, Cnidaria, Anthozoa, Actiniaria, Edwardsiidae. The record is from Rfam.